Molecule: ribosomal RNA, 468 nt
Filed under: uncultured bacterium
Lineage: Bacteria
Description: partial 16S ribosomal RNA
Rfam family: Bacterial small subunit ribosomal RNA
Source: RNAcentral
GACGAACGCUGGCGGCGUGCUUAACACAUGCAAGUCGAACGGACAGGCCCUGCUUUUGUUGGUUGCUCGAGUGGCGAACGGGUGAGUAAAACGUGAGUAUCCUGCCCUUGACUUUGGGAUAACUUCAGGAAACUGGGGCUCAUACCCGAUAUGAGCUCCUGCUGCAUGGUGGGGGUUGGAAAGUUUCGGCGGUUGUGGCUGGAUUGGCGGCUUAUGAGCUUGUUUGUGGGGUAGUGGCUUACCAAGGCUUUGACGGGUAGCCGGCCUGAGAGGGUUACCGGGGACAAUGCGACUAAGGGAGGGCGCAGAAGGGAACGGGAGGCAACGGGGGGGAGUAUGACAGAACGGGGGCGAGUGAGUGACAGAGACGUUGGGAGCGGGAUAACGGGCUUUGAGGGGUGAACAGAUGUGGAAGGUAACAAAGAGGGAGUGACGGUAAUGGGUAAAGAAGCAACGGCUAACUACGUG